AGCUUCGCGCAGUGGCAGUAUCGUAGCCAAUGAGGUUUAUCCGAGGCGUGAUUAUUGCUAAUUGAAAACUCUCCUGCCCUUUUUUUCCCCUGGAGUAGAGCUCAGAUUGAGUUCCGGUCUCUCCCUCCUGUUGCAAUAGCUUUGAAUUAGGGGUUGUUUAUGCAAAGUUACCAGACU
RNAcentral lists this small nuclear RNA (177 nucleotides) under Phocoena sinus (vaquita). RNAcentral's name for it is "U4 spliceosomal RNA (ENSPSNG00000008552.1)". The stretch from base 1 to 76 matches the Rfam family "U4 spliceosomal RNA". The record is from RNAcentral. Lineage: Eukaryota; Metazoa; Chordata; Mammalia; Artiodactyla; Phocoenidae.